UACGUAGGGUCCGAGCGUUGUCCGGAAUUAUUGGGCGUAAAGGGCUCGUAGGCGGUUCGUCACGUCGGGAGUGAAAACUCGGGGCUUAACCCCGAGCCUGCUUCCGAUACGGGCAGACUAGAGGUAGGCAGGGGAGAGCGGAACUCCUGGUGUAGCGGUGGAAUGCGCAGAUAUCAGGAAGAACACCCGUGGCGAAGGCGGCUCUCUGGGACGGUACUGACGCUGAGGUGCGAAAGCGUGGGGAGCAAACAGG
Molecule: ribosomal RNA, 253 nt
Filed under: uncultured bacterium
Lineage: Bacteria
Description: partial 16S ribosomal RNA
Rfam family: Bacterial small subunit ribosomal RNA
Source: RNAcentral